This 73-nucleotide transfer RNA is filed under the name Bacteroidota bacterium. RNAcentral describes it as "Bacteroidetes bacterium (activated sludge metagenome) tRNA-Pro". It matches the Rfam family "tRNA". From Rfam's summary of the family: Transfer RNA (tRNA) molecules are approximately 80 nucleotides in length. Their secondary structure includes four short double-helical elements and three loops (D, anti-codon, and T loops). RNAcentral also lists the same sequence under 3 other names. The record is from RNAcentral. Lineage: Bacteria; Pseudomonadati; Bacteroidota.
CGGGGCGUGGCGCAGCUGGUAGCGCACCUGCUUUGGGAGCAGGGGGUCGCACGUUCGAAUCGUGUCGCCCCGA